This 789-nucleotide ribosomal RNA is filed under the name uncultured Staphylococcus sp. Its description in RNAcentral is "bacterial SSU rRNA". It matches the Rfam family "Bacterial small subunit ribosomal RNA", at positions 129 to 904 of the family's 1533-position model. Lineage: Bacteria; Bacillati; Bacillota; Bacilli; Caryophanales; Staphylococcaceae. The record is from RNAcentral.
CCUAUAAGACUGGGAUAACUUCGGGAAACCGGAGCUAAUACCGGAUAACAUUUAGAACCGCAUGGUUCUAAAGUGAAAGAUGGUUUUGCUAUCACUUAUAGAUGGACCCGCGCCGUAUUAGCUAGUUGGUAAGGUAACGGCUUACCAAGGCGACGAUACGUAGCCGACCUGAGAGGGUGAUCGGCCACACUGGAACUGAGACACGGUCCAGACUCCUACGGGAGGCAGCAGUAGGGAAUCUUCCGCAAUGGACGAAAGCCUGACGGAGCAACGCCGCGUGAGUGAUGAAGGUUUUCGGAUCGUAAAACUCUGUUAUUAGGGAAGAACAAAUGUGUAAGUAACUGUGCACAUCUUGACGGUACCUAAUCAGAAAGCCACGGCUAACUACGUGCCAGCAGCCGCGGUAAUACGUAGGUGGCAAGCGUUAUCCGGAAUUAUUGGGCGUAAAGCGCGCGUAGGCGGUUUCUUAAGUCUGAUGUGAAAGCCCACGGCUCAACCGUGGAGGGUCAUUGGAAACUGGGAAACUUGAGUACAGAAGAGGAAAGUGGAAUUCCAUGUGUAGCGGUGAAAUGCGCAGAGAUAUGGAGGAACACCAGUGGCGAAGGCGACUUUCUGGUCUGUAACUGACGCUGAUGUGCGAAAGCGUGGGGAUCAAACAGGAUUAGAUACCCUGGUAGUCCACGCCGUAAACGAUGAGUGCUAAGUGUUAGGGGGUUUCCGCCCCUUAGUGCUGCAGCUAACGCAUUAAGCACUCCGCCUGGGGAGUACGACCGCAAGGUUGAAACUCAA